Molecule: ribosomal RNA, 500 nt
Filed under: uncultured bacterium
Lineage: Bacteria
Description: partial 16S ribosomal RNA
Rfam family: Bacterial small subunit ribosomal RNA
Source: RNAcentral
GAUGAACGCUGGCGGCGUGCCUAAUACAUGCAGGUCGAGCGAGACUCUUCGGAGUCUAGCGGCGGACGGGUGAGUAACACGUGGGCAACCUGCCUGUAAGACUGGGAUAACACCGGGAAACCGGUGCUAAUACCGGAUAAUCCCUUUCCUCUCAUGAGGAAAAGCUGAAAGUCGGUUUCGGCUGACACUUACAGAUGGGCCCGCGGCGCAUUAGCUAGUUGGUGAGGUAACGGCUCACCAAGGCGACGAUGCGUAGCCGACCUGAGAGGGUGAUCGGCCACACUGGGACUGAGACACGGCCCAGACUCCUACGGGAGGCAGCAGUAGGGAAUCUUCCACAAUGGACGAAAGUCUGAUGGAGCAACGCCGCGUGAGCGAUGAAGGCCUUCGGGUCGUAAAGCUCUGUUGUUAGGGAAGAACAAGUACCGGAGUAACUGCCGGUACCUUGACGGUACCUAACCAGAAAGCCACGGCUAACUACGUGCCAGCCGCCGCAGUAA